GAUGAACGCUGGCGGCGUGCUUAACACAUGCAAGUCGAACGGGAAAUAUUUCAUUGAGACUUCGGUGGAUUUGAUCUAUUUCUAGUGGCGGACGGGUGAGUAACGCGUGGGUAACCUGCCUUAGUACAGGGGGAUAACAGUCAGAAAUGGCUGCUAAUACCGCAUAAGCGCACAGAGCUGCAUGGCUCAGUGUGAAAAACUCCGGUGGUAUAAGAUGGACCCGCGUUGGAUUAGCUUAGUUGGUGGGGUAACGGCCCACCAAGGCGACGAUCCAUAGCCGGCCUGAGAGGGUGAACGGCCACAUUGGGACUGAGACACGGCCCAG
This 325-nucleotide ribosomal RNA is filed under the name uncultured bacterium. RNAcentral's name for it is "bacterial SSU rRNA". It matches the Rfam family "Bacterial small subunit ribosomal RNA", at positions 28 to 334 of the family's 1533-position model. The record is from RNAcentral.